AACGAACGCUGGCGGCAGGCCUAACACAUGCAAGUCGAGCGCCCUUUCGGGGGAGCGGCGGACGGGUGAGUAACGCGUGGGAAUAUGCCCUUCUCUACGGAAUAGCCUCGGGAAACUGAGAGUAAUACCGUAUACGCCCUGUGGGGGAAAGAUUUAUCGGGGAAGGAUUAGCCCGCGUUGGAUUAGGUAGUUGGUGGGGUAAUGGCCUACCAAGCCGACGAUCCAUAGCUGGUUUGAGAGGAUGAUCAGCCACACUGGGACUGGGACACGGCCCAGACUCCUACGGGAGGCAGCAGUGGGGAAUCUUAGACAAUGGGGGCAACGCUGAUCUAGCCAUGCCGCGUGAGUGAUGAAGGCCUUAGGGUUGUAAAGCUCUUUCAGCUGGGAAGAUAAUGACGGUACCAGCAGAAGAAGCCCCGGCUAACUCCGUG
RNAcentral lists this ribosomal RNA (431 nucleotides) under uncultured bacterium. RNAcentral's name for it is "partial 16S ribosomal RNA". It matches the Rfam family "Bacterial small subunit ribosomal RNA", at positions 29 to 507 of the family's 1533-position model. The record is from RNAcentral.